UAGGGAAUCUUCCACAAUGGGCGAAAGCCUGAUGGAGCAACGCCGCGUGUGUGAUGAAGGGUUUCGGCUCGUAAAACACUGUUGUUAAAGAAGAACGUGGGUAAGAGUAACUGUUUACCCAGUGACGGUAUUUAACCAGAAAGCCACGGCUAACUACGUGCCAG
This 164-nucleotide ribosomal RNA is filed under the name uncultured bacterium. Its description in RNAcentral is "partial 16S ribosomal RNA". It matches the Rfam family "Bacterial small subunit ribosomal RNA", at positions 355 to 511 of the family's 1533-position model. The record is from RNAcentral.